UACGUAGGGUGCAAGCGUUAUCCGGAAUUAUUGGGCGUAAAGAGCUCGUAGGCGGUUUGUCACGUCUGCUGUGAAAACUGGAGGCUCAACCUCCAGCCUGCAGUGGGUACGGGCAGACUAGAGUGCGGUAGGGGAGAUUGGAAUUCCUGGUGUAGCGGUGGAAUGCGCAGAUAUCAGGAGGAACACCGGUGGCGAAGGCGGAUCUCUGGGCCUGUUCUGACGCUGAGGCGCGAAAGCUAGGGGAGCGAACAGG
RNAcentral lists this ribosomal RNA (253 nucleotides) under uncultured bacterium. RNAcentral describes it as "partial 16S ribosomal RNA". It matches the Rfam family "Bacterial small subunit ribosomal RNA", at positions 524 to 776 of the family's 1533-position model. The record is from RNAcentral.